RNAcentral lists this ribosomal RNA (499 nucleotides) under uncultured bacterium. Its description in RNAcentral is "partial 16S ribosomal RNA". It matches the Rfam family "Bacterial small subunit ribosomal RNA", at positions 899 to 1397 of the family's 1533-position model. The record is from RNAcentral.
ACUCAAAGGAAUAGACGGGGGCCCGCACAAGCGGUGGAGCAUGUGGUUUAAUUCGACGCAACGCGAAGAACCUUACCUGGGUUAAAUCCACCGGAACCUGCCAGAGAUGGUGGGGUGCCCUUCGGGGAACCGGUGAGAAGGUGCUGCAUGGCUGUCGUCAGCUCGUGUCGUGAGAUGUUGGGUUAAGUCCCGCAACGAGCGCAACCCUUGUCGUCAGUUGCCAACGGUUAGGCCGGGCACUCAGACGAGACUGCCGACGUUAAGUCGGAGGAAGGUGGGGAUGACGUCAAGUCCUCAUGGCCCUUAUGCCCAGGGCUACACACGUGCUACAAUGGCCGGUACAAAGGGCUGCAAGCGCGCGAGCGUGAGCCAAUCCCAAAAAACCGGUCUCAGUUCGGAUUGGAGUCUGCAACUCGACUCCAUGAAGUUGGAAUCGCUAGUAAUCGCGGAUCAGCACGCCGCGGUGAAUACGUUCCCGGGCCUUGUACACACCGCCCGU